RNAcentral lists this ribosomal RNA (412 nucleotides) under uncultured bacterium. RNAcentral's name for it is "bacterial SSU rRNA". It matches the Rfam family "Bacterial small subunit ribosomal RNA", at positions 8 to 441 of the family's 1533-position model. The record is from RNAcentral.
AGAGUUUGAUCCUGGCUCAGAAUGAAACCUGGCGGUGUGCCUAACACAUGCAAGUCAAACGACAAUUUAUUUGGAGUGGCGGACGGGUGAGUAACACGUAAGAACCUACCUUUAGGAGGGGGAUACCAUCCCGGGAAACUGGUGCUAAUACCCCAUAUGCUGAGAAGUGAAAUGGUAUUUAACCGCCUAGAGAGGGGCUUGCGGCUGAUUAGCUAGUUGGUGGGGUAAUGGCCUCCCAAGGCGACGAUCAGUAGCUGGUUUGAGAGGAUGAUCAGCCACACUGGGACUGAGACACGGCCCAGACUCCUACGGGAGGCAGCAGUGAGGAAUUUUCCGCAAUGGGCGAAAGCCUGACGGAGCAAUACCGCGUGGAGGAAAAAGAAGACCUGUGGGUUGUAAACUCCUUUUCUCA